GUCGGAUUAGCUAGUUGGUGAGGUAACGGCUCACCAAGGCAGCGACGCGUAGGGGGUCUGAGAGGAUGGCCCCCCACAUUGGGACUGAGAUACGGCCCAGACUCCUACGGGAGGCAGCAGUGGGGAAUCUUGCGCAAUGGCCGAAAGGCUGACGCAGCGACGCCGCGUGUGGGAGGAAGCUUUUCGGAGUGUAAACCACUGUCAGAGGGGACGAAAUACCCGGGGAGGAAAUGCCCUUCGGGAGAUGACGGUACCCUCAGAGGAAGCACCGGCUAACUCCGUGCCAGCAGCCGCGGUAAUACGGAGGGUGCGAGCGUUGUUCGGAAUUAUUGGGCGUAAAGCGCACGUAGGCGGUCUUUAUAAGUCUCAUGGUGAAAUGCCGGGGCUCAACCCCGCGCUUGCCGGGGAUACUGGGAGACUGGAGACAGGUAGAGGCCAGCGGAAUUCCGGGUGUAGCGGUGGAAUGCGUAGAGAUCCGGAAGAACACCGGAGGCGAAGGCGGCUGGCUGG
Molecule: ribosomal RNA, 510 nt
Filed under: uncultured Gemmatimonadota bacterium
Lineage: Bacteria; Pseudomonadati; Gemmatimonadota
Description: bacterial SSU rRNA
Rfam family: Bacterial small subunit ribosomal RNA
Source: RNAcentral